This 2718-nucleotide long non-coding RNA is filed under the name Chinchilla lanigera (long-tailed chinchilla). RNAcentral describes it as "lncRNA (ENSCLAG00000022391.1)". Lineage: Eukaryota; Metazoa; Chordata; Mammalia; Rodentia; Chinchillidae. The record is from RNAcentral.
AUGCUUCCAGAAGUGCUGUUUCAACAUCAAGUCCAAGUCUUUCUGCUCGGGAAACUGAUGAGGCUGAACAGGACAGCAGCUGCAGCUGCGUGGAGGAAGUGCUGGACCAGCUGCCAGAGCCUUUCUCUACCACCAUUCCCACUCCCCGCUAUUUCCUAUAUUGUUAAAAGGAAGUUUGAGACCAUGGAAAAGCUCAAAGCAAUACUGGUGCUAAUGCUGCCAGGAUUCUGAGCUUUACACCAAAUUCAUUCUGGUUAACAGUCUUCUGUUCCUCCCCAAAUUAUGAAGGAACCAUUAACUUGUUGAUAUAAACUCUGAGUCAUUUUUUGAGGUUGAAAAUAUGCUAAAGCAUGAUUACAUAUAGUUGGGUCAGGUGAAGAGGCUGUGGCCCUGGAUUAGUUUCCCUCUGUUGAAGCUUUGUUGUGCUUUUGCUCAUUGGCUUUGUGCCACUGAGGGUUUAAACAACAGAUCUGCCUGAUCAGGAGCUUGUAGUUAGUGAACCUCAUACCUAAGAGGAAACAUCUUUCUUUCUUCCAGCCAUGGCAAGCCCUGUGGACCUGUACGUCACAUAGGCACCAGAUUUAAAUCUGAUGAAAUUGUGGCAGUUCAUUCAUCUCCCAUAGCUCUUAGCGCUUUUUCUGGUCAUAGUUCACAAAGUAGGGGCUGUGAAUUCCCUGACUUGCCUGACUGAGGUUCUUUGCCCUUAUUUUUCUUAUAGCUACAAGAUAUAAAAAAAGAAAAGAGAUGAUAGGGUCAUAGGUGCAGGUGCGAAAGUAGUUGCAAAGAGACAGAACAGCACAUUCUUCUGUCAUCUGAAUUUUAGUAGGAUAGGCAUGGAGCUAUCUUAGAGAUUGGUUAAUGGGACUGUUUUUCAGUAUCAAAGUCACAACUCACGUCUUUUAAGCAAUAAAGCACUUCUUUAUAGGCAGUAAUGAUGAUGACCGUAGGUCAGAAGACAUUAUGGCUAAAAAUAACCUUGCUUUCACUUGCUUUUAUUCCAAUUGCUUGAGUGGCAAAGAAAGGAAUAGAGUAAUACAGUUACAGUUAGUAUGAGGGGAGCUUCAUACGUCAUUACUCGGCUACCACCCUUAUGUGACUGGUACAGAGCACUACUUGAGAUGCCCUUCAUGCUUUCCCUGUCCUCCGAAAGAAAUCUGCUUAUUAUGUAACACGGAUUCUGUGUUACUUCCUUUGUAAAGCCUGACCUCUGUACUGAUAGACCUCCUCCGCCAGUCCAGCAGGACUUUGCAUCUUUAUUCAGUUCUUUACUUCAUGUGGAGCUGGCAAUAUGACAUUUAUUGCAUUAAGUUUCCAUUAGUUAUAUACACAUUUCUCCAUUUUAGUAUGUGAUCAACUAGGCCAGUUAAGCCAUCUUAUUUCAUAAUUAACUCAUACACCAAACUAAUAAUAGGAUCUGUUAUAUGCCAAAAUAUUGCCUGAAUAUUGAGAUAAUACUGGGCUAUAUGAAUAUAGAAUUUUUAUUAUAGUAGAGAAGACAAAAUACCUAGAUGAAUAAGAGAACUACAUAUUUAAAUGGUUAUUAUAAAGUAAAUAACUACAAGACAAGAGAUUCAAUACCAAAGAAAGCCAUAAAAAGUUAGGAUGUUAGGAAGAGCCUCCAAGAGGUUCCUGGUUGACCAUACCAGGAUUUCUAGAACGAAUGGGUUUUACAAUGAGACAAUAAUUAUUGGGAAGAAUAGAACAGGCAGAGAUCAUAACAUUAAGGUAGGUAGAAUGGCAGAGUAGAUGGUAUCAGCACAUAACUAGUGUUAGCGAUCAUAGGUCUCAUUUCUGUGCAGUGUCUUCUGAGGUUGAUUUUAAGUUAUAUCACUUAGAAUAUCUGAUAGAUUGUACAUGAAUUCAUUCUUCUGCUACUUCAUUUACUAAUAUAGAAUUCUAUUACCUUGUAUAAAAUUUUAUAAAGUUAAAUUUUUAAGGGCUGGGGAUUUAGCUCAGCAACAAAGCGCCUGCCUGGCAAGCGCAAGGUUGUGAGUUCAGUUCCCGGUACCGGAGAAAAGCCAAAAACAAAACAAAACAAUAAAGUUAAAUUUUUAAAAGUUUGUAUUAUUAUUUCCUUAAUAUUAAAGACUACCACAAAAAAAGACACAAAAUGAAACAUUUGGCCUUUGAGUACUAUUAUUCUUGAAUACUAGGAAGAUUCUAAUAGCCCAUAGGAUGUCAAUUCUGAAUUUGAAAGUGAUUAAUGUUUGCUUGACAUUCUAAAUAUUUUUCUUUCCUUGGGUCAGCUAAGCCAGAGGUAAACAUCUGGUCCAGUAUGGACCAAUCACAGUGUAUUUCUCCAAGGAAUUUGGGAUAAAAUGCAGGGGAGAUAAGUCCCUUUGAAAUGGCCGUGGGGGAGCUUAAACUGAAGGGUUCAGUGGAGCAGGGCCAGAGUCAUCACAUACCAUAGCAGCAAGCUUGUUGAUAUUUUGGGAGCAGCAGAGAAAUCAUAUAAAGCAGAAAAGCACUAAUUUUUGGAAAGAAGAAAGAAAAUAGAAAACAUACACAGGGAAACAAUACAUUUGACUUAAAAAUAAUAUAUAUGUUAUAAUUAAACAAAUUCAGAUUUUUCUAUGUUUGAGACUUUUUACAAAUCAGUACUUUUGAAUGUGAUUAGUGAUCCUACCAAGUUUAUCAUUAUAUAUAUAUAUAUUAUAUAUAUUCUGUUUCCCUGGAGAUUUAGGUUGAUUUUGAAUGAACAAUAAAAAUGGAAAAAGC